GUGGACCUACUGCAGGGUUGGUAAAGGGUUACUAACCCUAAAAUUAUAUGUUUUGCUAGACUGAUGUAUGGGUCUGAGCAUGUUUGUGCCAUGUAUAUCUGUUAUCUGUUUUCAUAAGCAUGUUAAGCAUAUAUUAUCUGUAACUCUGUAUGCAUGUUCUGUUUUGUUAUUGUUUUUGGAGAGGGAUUGUUAUAAUGGAGGAAGUGUUCUAAAAAGUAGUUUGCCAUUCAUCUGGUAGUAUGGCUGCGUAUAUCUGUUAUAUGCCGCCUCGAUACAAUAUGGUGUGUAGGGAUGGGUGGGUGUUUUAAACCCCACAUGGUGUGUUGGGAUGGUCGGAGAUGGUGUGUAGAGGAUAUCUAAUUUCUGAUGAUGACUGUAUUGCUGUAUCUUUAUCUAAGAUGGGAUUAGGCCC
RNAcentral lists this long non-coding RNA (412 nucleotides) under Gossypium barbadense (sea-island cotton). RNAcentral's name for it is "long non-coding RNA (GBAR_LNC000369)". Lineage: Eukaryota; Viridiplantae; Streptophyta; Magnoliopsida; Malvales; Malvaceae. The record is from RNAcentral.